GGACUACCCGGGUAUCUAAUCCUGUUUGCUACCCACGCUUUCGGGCAUGAACGUCAGUGUUAUCCCAGGAGGCUGCCUUCGCCAUCGGUAUUCCUCCACAUCUCUACGCAUUUCACUGCUACACGUGGAAUUCUACCUCCCUCUGACACACUCUAGUCACCCAGUUCAGAACGCAGUUCCCAGGUUGAGCCCGGGGAUUUCACAUCCUGCUUAAGUAACCGUCUGCGCCCGCUUUACGCCCAGUAAUUCCGAUUAACGCUCGCACCCUACGUAUUACCGCGGCGGCUGGCAC
RNAcentral lists this ribosomal RNA (292 nucleotides) under uncultured bacterium. RNAcentral's name for it is "partial 16S ribosomal RNA". The record is from RNAcentral. RNAcentral also lists the same sequence under 1 other name.